GACAGAGGCCUCGAGCGUUAGGCGGAAUCACUGGGCUUAAAGCGUGUGUAGGCGGGCCCGUAAGUGUCUUGUGAAAUCCCACGGCUCAACCGUGGAACUGCUGGGCAUACUGCGGGUCUUGGGCCAACUAGGGGCAGCCGGAACAAGCGGUGGAGCGGUGAAAUGCGUAGAUAUCGUUUGGAACGCCAAUGGUGAAAACAGGUCGCUGGGGAUGAGCUGACGCUGAGACACGAAAGCCAGGGGAGCAAACGGG
This 253-nucleotide ribosomal RNA is filed under the name uncultured bacterium. RNAcentral's name for it is "partial 16S ribosomal RNA". It matches the Rfam family "Bacterial small subunit ribosomal RNA", at positions 524 to 776 of the family's 1533-position model. The record is from RNAcentral.